RNAcentral lists this ribosomal RNA (496 nucleotides) under uncultured bacterium. RNAcentral describes it as "partial 16S ribosomal RNA". It matches the Rfam family "Bacterial small subunit ribosomal RNA", at positions 29 to 507 of the family's 1533-position model. The record is from RNAcentral.
AUGAACGCUGGCGGCGUGCCUAAUCCCUGCAAGUCGCGCGAACAGACGAGGAGCUUGCUCCUCUGACGUUAGCGGCGGACGGGUGAGUAACACGUGGAUAACCUACCUAUAAGACUGGGAUAACUUCGGGAAACCGGAGCUAAUACCGGAUAAUAUAUUGAACCGCCUGGUUCAAUAGUGAAAGACGGUUUUGCUGUCACUUAUAGAUGGAUCCGCGCCGCAUAAGCUAGUUGGUAGGGUAACGGCUUACCAAGGCAACGAUGCGUAGCCGACCUGAGAGGGGGAUCGGCCACACUGGAACUGAGACACGGUCCAGACUCCUACGGGAGGCAGCAGUAGGGAAUCUUCGGCAAUGGGCGAAAGCCUGACGGAGCAACGCCGCGUGAGUGAUGAAGGUCUUCGGAUCGUAAAACUCUGUUAUUAGGGAAGAACAAAUGUGUAAGUAACUAUGCACGUCUUGACGGUACCUAAUCAGAAAGCCACGGCUAACUACGUG